Long non-coding RNA from Schistocerca americana (American grasshopper), 767 nucleotides. RefSeq lists it as uncharacterized. The transcript has 2 exons. Lineage: Eukaryota; Metazoa; Arthropoda; Insecta; Orthoptera; Acrididae. The record is from RefSeq and is a predicted model, not a curated record.
CGGUAACAACUUUCACAGCAGUGAAUGUCGCGACUGUUAUGUUUGACUGUGUAAUGAACUAUGACCACAAGUAGUAAAUCUAAGGUCACUGCACAUUCGAUUCAUUCUGUUAAACAUUUUAGGACUCCAACAACUACUGAUAUGAUCAUUAACAGAAGUCCUUGCCAUUGUUAAAAACAUAAAUUGGUGUACUUCAGAGCAAUAUUUAACAGUGUGUUGAAAUAACCUCUGGAUGAAGACAAAGUUGAAAGAGAGCUAAUUAUUAUUCCAAAAGUGGCAAAAGCUGACAGUUACAAAAGAAAAUGAUAUUACUGAAGAUACAACAUGAGGUGCUGAUGGAAGUAGAGCUGCGAGGACGGGCUGUGAGUGGUGCUUGGAUAGCUCAGCUGGUAGAACACUUAACUGUGAAAGGCAAAGGUACUGAUUUCGAGUCUUGUUUUGGCAUACGGUUUUAAUCUGCCAGGAAGUUUCAUAUCAGUGCACAGUCCACUGGGGAAUGAAAAUUCCAUUCUGUGAAAUAUCAGAAGCCAAUAGCACAAUGCUGGCAGCCUGCAGGAAGAGCAUUCACCAACAGUACUUUGCCUAUUGCUGUAUAUUUUUGUAUGUGGCUCAUAUGCUAAGGACAAUCGUGAUUUUACCACCAAUGGCAGCUACUUGCUUUUUAAAAUACUUGUAUGCUACCUGUCACACAGUGCUUGUAUAUGGUACGUACAUCUGACUGGAUACAAAGUAUCUGAAAAAAUGUGGAGGUGGGAGGUUGUAAUGUA